AUACUGCUCUAUCACACGUCGUACUAGAUGGAUUGCUUCCACAGUCGACCUUCCUGGCAUAAAACCAAAUUGAUUCUCAGUGACUAGAGUCUCUUUUAUUAUUCUAUAUUCAAUCACUCUUCCCAUAACUUCAUGGUAUGACUCAUAAGUUUAAUCCCUAUAGAAUUUUCACAAUUUUGCAUACCCAUUUGUUCUUAUAUAUUGGAACUAAAGUGGUUCU
This 220-nucleotide long non-coding RNA is filed under the name Lathyrus oleraceus (garden pea). RNAcentral's name for it is "Pisum sativum (pea) long non-coding RNA (PSAT_LNC027973)". The record is from RNAcentral. Lineage: Eukaryota; Viridiplantae; Streptophyta; Magnoliopsida; Fabales; Fabaceae.